GGGGCUGACCGGUUUUGACAGCAAGGAAGUGGUAUUGUAAGCAUGCCGGGUGUUGUGUGUUAACCCGUAAUAACAAUGCUCACGCCACAAUAAAUGGCAACGAUUACGAUUACGCGUUAGCCGCUUAGUCAGGACGAUUAAGCCGCUUUCUGCUUCCCGCGAAACCUUUCUGGACGGUGUUGCGGCAGAAGCAUCGAAAAUGUCUGGAUAGAAAAAGUUUUGUUCCGCGGCUUUUUUGAAAUAACAGGGACUAAGGUUGAAGUAGGUUGGCUUUUCGCCAGCUUCAUCCCGACAAAAUAAGAAAAGCUAAGCAUGUAGAAAGCAUUAUUGCUGCUUGUUUGGACCAGGGUUCGACUCCCUGCAGCUCCACCU
RNAcentral lists this transfer-messenger RNA (372 nucleotides) under Bacteroidales. Its description in RNAcentral is "JAAYJT01 sp014860575 Standard tmRNA". It matches the Rfam family "transfer-messenger RNA". From Rfam's summary of the family: Bacterial tmRNA, also known as 10Sa RNA or SsrA, is named for its dual tRNA and mRNA-like properties. Its role is to liberate the mRNA from a stalled ribosome. The record is from RNAcentral. RNAcentral also lists the same sequence under 1 other name. Lineage: Bacteria; Pseudomonadati; Bacteroidota; Bacteroidia.